This 492-nucleotide ribosomal RNA is filed under the name uncultured bacterium. Its description in RNAcentral is "partial 16S ribosomal RNA". It matches the Rfam family "Bacterial small subunit ribosomal RNA", at positions 29 to 507 of the family's 1533-position model. The record is from RNAcentral.
AGUGAACGCUGGCGGUAGGCCUAACACAUGCAAGUCGAACGGCAGCACAGUAAGAGCUUGCUCUUACGGGUGGCGAGUGGCGGACGGGUGAGGAAUACAUCGGAAUCUACUUUUUCGUGGGGGAUAACGUAGGGAAACUUACGCUAAUACCGCAUACGACCUACGGGUGAAAGCAGGGGAUCUUCGGACCUUGCGCGACUGAAUGAGCCGAUGUCGGAUUAGCUAGUUGGCGGGGUAAAGGCCCACCAAGGCGACGAUCCGUAGCUGAUCUGAGAGGAUGAUCAGCCACACUGGAACUGAGACACGGUCCAGACUCCUACGGGAGGCAGCAGUGGGGAAUAUUGGACAAUGGGCGCAAGCCUGAUCCAGCCAUGCCGCGUGGGUGAAGAAGGCCUUCGGGUUGUAAAGCCCUUUUGUUGGGAAAGAAAAGCAGCAGGUUAAUACCCCGCUGUUCUGACGGUACCCAAAGAAUAAGCACCGGCUAACUUCGUG